GUCCUGCUUAUUCCAGAGUGGUUGCUUCCCCUAUUCUUCCAUCCUAACUUCGGCUACAAGUUCGUGUUCCUCAAACCAUUCUUGACAGGAAGUUGGUUUGCCGUGGAAAUGUCGCUGCUGCCAAGCUGCUAAUUAAGUGGCAAGGGGAGCCCAAGGAGACUACUACUUGGAAGUUCGCUGAUGAUAUUCGUCAACGGUUUCCAAGCUUCCCCCUUGAGGGCAAGGAAGCUAGGAGGGGGAACUUGUUGCACGAUGAAUUGAAUUGCAUUAACAAGUGGCGAUAAAGUCUGGUACUAGGGAAAGAGAAGAAGAAGAGGAGUUGGUUGAUCCGAAAACGACGUGGUUGGACUUAGUGGUUGAUGCGAUAUGAUAUCGUAGAUUGAGUUGUUAUUUUGUAAUAAAAAACGGUGAUGUUUUCCAAUUUAUAAUAAAUGCGUUGGCACCUACUUAAGGCGGGAGAAUUUAAUGUAGAGAAAUGGGUUUUCAGUUGCAAACAAGUGUGUUUUCUUGGGAGAACAUUUGAAUGUGAAGCGCUUAGAGUUAGAACAAGAAUUUAUCGACUCGGAGGCCUUAAAAUUUAAAGGUGAAGAAGCUACAAACUUCUGUACGGCAAGUUUAGAAGACAAAAUGCCAUUUCUCCAGAUGCUUCAAACUGUAGAAACCCCAUCAGUUAUUUUGCUUGUUUUUUGUUACAAGAAAGACUGAAAAGAUGUUGAGGAUUAAGAGAGUGCCAACCGUUGUUUCGAAUUACCAAAGGGAGGAGACGGAAGAGGGUGCUCGUCGUAGCAACAGGUGUGGUUGGAAUUGUCUUAACAAGUGUUGUCGCAAAGAGGCAAGUUUUCCCUUGUAUCUGUUCCAAGAGCGUCAACAAGACUGAGACUGGAAAGGGAGUGCUUCAAAAUCAAAACAGAAUAUUUCUUUGUUAAUUAAGAAGAUUAUAUGUUAAUUAAAGUGGGUUUCAACAGUGACGAGAUUAAGAGAAUUAUAAACAUGUAUAUUUCUCUAGGUUAAAAGCAUUUUUUAUUUUCA
Long non-coding RNA from Mangifera indica (mango), 1029 nucleotides. RefSeq lists it as uncharacterized. NCBI's taxonomy places the organism in Eukaryota, Viridiplantae, Streptophyta, Magnoliopsida, Sapindales, Anacardiaceae. The record is from RefSeq and is a predicted model, not a curated record. The transcript is spliced from 3 exons.